AUAGAGGCAGAACGUUAGUCUGCUUUCAUCAGCUCGUGGUGAUACAAACGUUGCAUUUUAUCUCUCAACUUUAUAUACAUAUAUAGUAUUUACGGGUUAUUAUCUGUGUCACCUACGUAUGUGCAUUUUUCUUGUUGUUUAUUUUUAUUUAUUUUUUUAUAUAAUUCCAAAUACCUUCGAAAUUUAACAAAACAAAAGAGUUGUUUACCACCAAAGACAAGUUUUAUCUGACUAUUUUAUUUCUAUCUUGAUUUUUUGAUAUCUUGUGGUAUCGUUUCAAAGUGUGAGAACAAUAAUAGAGAAAAGCUGAUUAAUUUUAUUAACAAUCGUUAAAACUUAUUUUCAAAGGAUACAUACCAUAUAUACUUGAAAAGCUUCAUUUUCAACUUACAAAGAAAAUGAUAGUUGAAAGAGAAAGAUAAGAAAAAACAAAACAAAAAUCACGUUAUUUUUAAAAGCAACA
This is a long non-coding RNA of Polistes dominula (European paper wasp), 463 nucleotides long. The record is from RefSeq and is a predicted model, not a curated record. NCBI's taxonomy places the organism in Eukaryota, Metazoa, Arthropoda, Insecta, Hymenoptera, Vespidae.